CACACCGCCCGUCGCUACUACCGAUUGAAUGGCUCAGUGAGGCUUUCGGACUGGCCCAGGGAGGUCGGCAACGACCACCCAGGGCCGGAAAGUUAUCCAAACUCGGUCAUUUAGAGGAAGUAAAAGUCGUAACAAGGUCUCCGUUGGUGAACCAGCGGAGGGAUCAUUACAGAGUUAUCUAACUCCCAAACCCAUGUUAACUUACCACUGUUGCCUCGGCAGAGAGCUGCUGGGCAGACCUACCCGGGAGCGGCUACCCUGUAGCUGCCACCCUGGAAGGGCUACCCUGAAACAAUCUGCCGGUGGACUACUAAACUCUUGUUAUUUUAAAAGUAAUCUGAGCGUCUUAUUUUAAUAAGUUAAAACUUUCAACAACGGAUCUCUUGGUUCUGGCAUCGAUGAAGAACGCAGCGAAAUGCGAUAAGUAAUGUGAAUUGCAGAAUUCAGUGAAUCAUCGAAUCUUUGAACGCACAUUGCGCCCAUUAGUAUUCUAGUGGGCAUGCCUGUUCGAGCGUCAUUUCAACCCUUAAGCUUAGCUUAGUAUUGGGAGCUGGCUGUACUGCCACUCCUCAAAUUCAACGGCGGAUUUAUAGCAAUCUCUGAACGUAGUAAUUUUUAUCUCGUUUUUGAAAUACUGUAAACCUCAGCCGCUAAACCCCCAAUUUUUAAUGGUUGACCUCGGAUCAGGUAGGAAUACCCGCUGAACUUAAGCAUAUCAAUAAGCGGAGGAAAAGAAACCAACAGGGAUUGCCUUAGUAACGGCGAGUGAAGCGGCAAUAGCUCAAAUUUGAAAUCUGGCACUUGUGUCCGAGUUGUAAUUUGCAGAAGAUGAUUUUGGUUAGGUACCUUCCGAGUUCCUUGGAACAGGACGCCUUAGAGGGUGAGAGCCCCGUACGGUUGGAUGCCGAGCCUUUGUAAAUCUCUUUCGACGAGUCGAGUAGUUUGGGAAUGCUGCUCUAAAUGGGAGGUAAAUUUCUUCUAAAGCUAAAUACUGGCCAGAGACCGAUAGCGCACAAGUAGAGUGAUCGAAAGAUGAAAAGCACUUUGAAAAGAGGGUUAAAUAGCACGUGAAAUUGUUGAAAGGGAAGGAUUUAUGACCAGACUUUUUCUAGGAGGAUCAUCCGGUGUUCUCACCGGUGCACUUCUUCUAGUCUAGGCCAGCAUCGACUUUCGGCGGCGGAUAAAAGCUUCAGGAAUGUGACUCCCUACGGGGAGUGUUAUAGCCUGUUGUAUAAUACGCUGCUGGGGGUCGAGGUACGCGCUUCUGCAAGGAUGCUGGCGUAAUGGUUAUCAAUCACCCGUCUUGAAACACGGACCAAGGAGUCGAACAUUUGUGCAAGUGUUUGGGUGUUAAACCCUCACGCGUAAUGAAAGUGAACGGAGGUGAGAGCCCUUACGGGUGCAUCAUCGACCGAUCCUGAUGUUUUCGGAUGGAUUUGAGUAAGAGCAUAACUGUUCGGACCCGAAAGAUGGUGAACUAUGCGUGGAUAGGGUGAAGCCAGAGGAAACUCUGGUGGAGGCUCGCAGCGGUUCUGACGUGCAAAUCGAUCGUCAAAUCUGCGCAUGGGGGCGAAAGACUAAUCGAACCAUC
This 1591-nucleotide ribosomal RNA is filed under the name Broomella vitalbae. RNAcentral describes it as "eukaryotic LSU rRNA". The stretch from base 674 to 1591 matches the Rfam family "Eukaryotic large subunit ribosomal RNA", at positions 1 to 944 of the family's 3401-position model. Lineage: Eukaryota; Fungi; Ascomycota; Sordariomycetes; Amphisphaeriales; Sporocadaceae. The record is from RNAcentral.